UUCCGGUUGAUCCCGCCGGAGGUUACUGCUWUCGGUGUUCGCCUAAGCCAUGCGAGUCAUAUGUAGCAAUACAUGGCGUACUGCUCAGUAACACGUGGAUAACCUGCCUUGGUCCGGCAUAACCCCGGGAAACUGGGGAUAAUUCCGGAUAACGCACAUAUGCUGGAAUGCUUUAUGCGUCAAAUGGAUUCGUCUGCCCAAGGAUGGGUCUGCGGCCUAUCAGGUAGUAGUGGGUGUAAUGUACCUACUAGCCGACAACGGGUACGGGUUGUGAGAGCAAGAGCCCGGAGAUGGAUUCUGAGACAUGAAUCCAGGCCCUACGGGGCGCAGCAGGCGCGAAAACUUUACAAUGCGGGAAACCGUGAUAAGGGGACACCGAGUGUCAGCAUCAUAUGCUGGCUGUCCAGGUGUGUAAAAUACACCUGUUAGCAAGGGCCGGGCAAGACCGGUGCCAGCCGCCGCGGUAACACCGGCGGCCCGAGUGGUGAUCGUGAUUAUUGGGUCUAAAGGGUCCGUAGCCGGUUUGGUCAGUCCUCCGGGAAAUCUGAUAGCUCAACUAUUAGGCUAUCGGGGGAUACUGCCAGGCUUGGAACCGGGAGAGGUAAGAGGUAUUACAGGGGUAGGAGUGAAAUCUUGUAAUCCCUGUGGGACCACCUGUGGCGAAGGCGUCUUACCAGAACGGGUUCGACGGUGAGGGACGAAAGCUGGGGGCACGAACCGGAUUAGAUACCCGGGUAGUCCCAGCCGUAAACGAUGCUCGCUAGGUGUCAGGCAUGGCGCGACCGUGUCUGGUGCCGCAGGGAAGCCGUGAAGCGAGCCACCUGGGAAGUACGGCCGCAAGGCUGAAACUUAAAGGAAUUGGCGGGGGAGCAC
This 873-nucleotide ribosomal RNA is filed under the name uncultured Methanosarcina sp. RNAcentral's name for it is "bacterial SSU rRNA". It matches the Rfam family "Archaeal small subunit ribosomal RNA", at positions 1 to 879 of the family's 1478-position model. Lineage: Archaea; Methanobacteriati; Methanobacteriota; Methanomicrobia; Methanosarcinales; Methanosarcinaceae. The record is from RNAcentral.